CUCGCUUUAUUGACCGAGGGAGCCGGCGUACAGCUUCCGGGUCAUGUGGCCAGCAUGACCAAGCCGCUUCUGGCGAACCAGAGCAGCGCACGGAAACGCUGUUUACCUUCCCGCUGGAGCGGUACCUAUUUAUCUACUUGCACUUUGACGUGCUUUCAAACUGCUAGGUUGGUAGGAGCAGGGACCGAGCAACAGGAGCUCACCCCGUCGCGGGGAUUCGAACUGC
This 226-nucleotide long non-coding RNA is filed under the name Podarcis lilfordi (Lilford's wall lizard). Lineage: Eukaryota; Metazoa; Chordata; Lepidosauria; Squamata; Lacertidae. The record is from RNAcentral.